AUUUUUUUUUCUUUAAUUAAAUAAAUGGACAUAAAACGGGAAACCACUGCCGUUCAAGUUCCAGAAAAUGUCGUUCAGGAAGAAACUUCCAUUGCCCAUCCUCAAGAAACUUGACCGCCACCCUUCACCACCACCGCCACCACCGCUGCCUCCACUCCCUGACCCACCACCUACCCCUCUUACACCUCUCCCUACUGUUACUCUCAGACCUACAUCUCAUCACUCCCAUCUCCUCCACUUCCUCCAAACCCACCUGGCCACCAAUCCACUAACCCCUUUCCACCUCCUUCACUUCCUCAAAUCGAAGCUCCGCCAUCACUCUCUGUUCUCCCACUAUGAUUUUCUCAUCUUCAAUUGGGCCUCCACCAUUGACUCUUUUCGCCAUGAUCACUCCACUUUUGAAUGGAUGGCACGGACUCUUGCUAUCACCAACCGUCUCUCGGAACUCUCCUCGCUUCUCUCUUUCAUGGCAUCCAAUCCCUGCCCUUGUUCUGAAGGUAUAUUUUCUUGUCCUAGAAUUGAACCCAUUUUUCAGUUUGCUAUUAAUGGUUAUUGUAAGGCAGGGAAAUUGGAUGAUGCCUCGCUUGCUUUUGAGACCAUGAGGAAAUUGAUUGAUGGGAGGCCCAUUGUAGCUGUUUAUAAUGUUUUGAUUCAUGGGUAUGUUAAAUGUGGGCAGCAUGAUAAGGUUACGGAGAUAUAUAAUAGGAUGUUGAAGGAUAGAGUUAAGCCUGAUGUGUUUACUUUUAAUAUCUUGAUUAGUAGCUAUUGUAGGAAUAAGAAGUUCGAGAUGGCUUUAGAGUUGUUUAGGGAGAUGAGAGAGAAGGGGUGUAGUCCUAAUGUGGUUAGUUUUAAUACAUUGAUUAUGGGGUUCUUUAGGGAGAGGAAGUUUGAUGAAGGGGUUAAGAUGGCAUAUGAGAUGAUUGAUUUGGGGUGUGGGUUUUCAAGUGUGACUUGUGAGAUUUUGGUCGAUGGUCUCUGUAGGGAAGAGAGAAGCUUGGAGGCUUGUGAAUUGUUGAUUGAUUUUUCAAGAAAAGGAGCUUUGCCAAGUAAUUUUGAUUUCUAUAUACUUAUGGACAAGCUAUGUGGCAAAAGAAACAUAGGAGCAGCUUUGGAGUUGUUGAAUGAGUUGUGGAGGAAUGGAAAUGUUCCAAGCGUAAUUUCUUGUAUCACUUUAAUAGAAGGUUUGAGGAAGUUGAGGAAAAUAGAAGAAGCAUUCAGAUUGAUGGAAAGAAUGUUGAAGGAGAGUAUUAUUUCAGAUAUUGUGACCUUUAAUUAUCUCCUUCAAGAUCUUUGCAAUGUAGGAAGAACAGUUGAUGCUGACAAAUUGAGAUUAUUGGCUUCUAGCAAGGGUUUGGAACUAGAUGAUAUGACAUAUUACACUUUGGUAUUUGGGUAUACAAGAGAGGGCAAAAGGAAGGAAGGAGAAGUUUUGGUGGAUGAGAUGCUGGAUAGAGAAUUUAUACCUGAUCUUGCUACAUAUAAUAGGUUAAUGGAUGGCCUUUCUAAAUCUAGAAGCCCUCCUAAACACCAUUUUUGACUGAGUUGAAAAGGUGAAUGCAUAGACAUCUUCAAUUUUUACAUUUUGGUUUUGGCACCAACAGUUUAGUGGAAUUAGCUGGGAUUUCUCAAUUAUGGUGGAAUUCCUCUUCCAUGAAGUAAGUAAGAACUUUGACGAAACAGACAAAUGCAUAUAGGCUGUUGUAAAUCAAGGAGGAAAGGAAGAAGUUAAAAGUGGAAGCAGCAGGUAUAAAUAUAUUCAUACAAACUGCAUUUGUCAUCCAUGAUAAUGCCAAGGUAAUUGUCAUCAGCUGCAGAUGAAUAAGGAUGAGGAGCUGCUUAAAUAAAUGAAUGAUGCUGAAAAUGAGCUUGCUGUUGUUUCACUUAAAGCUUUGAUUGAUAGGUGCAUACAGUUUGAUGAGUACUGUUUGUUCUUUCCUAUAAGGAGAGGCAAGCUAUAGCAUAAGUUAUGAAACCAAGAGAGGCACUUCUAGUUUUGAAAGAAGUUAACUAAAGAGGGAUGUAUGGUGAAAAGUCAGGAAAGCAAUUUAUAUCUCCAUGUUAAUUACCUUCUUCCCUUCCAUUGAGACUCGGUGAAGGCUUUUUGCAUACUCUGGCUGAUGUUUGUUUGUGGGAGGGGCUUUUGUUCCAAAGGCUUUAGGAAUUUUGGCUUGCGUGGAAGGAAAUGAGAUGCUUCCAAAUAAGACGAAGAUUUUAUGUAGAGAAGGACUGCAGGAUGUCCAUGCAAGAAAGGAGAACUGAGAGGAAGAGAACAGCUGAGCUCACUCCUCAUGGGUAUAAUUUGGCCUGCGCAUCGGUUCAUGGUGCCAGCAACUCCAUCGACCUUGGUCUCUUCUUGCUUGGCAUUUUAAUGGUCAAGCAGAUUCUCUGCAGUUGUUUCCCUGGCAUCGAGAAAAUGGUCACCAACACAGCCCCAUUCUAUAAUGCUUGGAACCAUCAUCAUAGCCUUUGUGGUAAUGGGUUUUGCAUCGGUUGCCCACAAGGGGAAAGAUAGAGAGAUUGCAGGGGUAUUCUACACCAAGCCUGCCUUCAAGACACUACAAGUGGCUGCAGAGAUUCAUGAUGAGCAAAACUAGCUGGAAUGACAUUGUAGGUGGCUUGGAACACCUCAAUUUUGUUCCAACUUACUCAGGACUUAAAAUCAUCUUAAUGUUUCUGUAGAUUAAUUUGACUCCAAUACAGGUAGUCCUU
RNAcentral lists this unclassified non-coding RNA (2709 nucleotides) under Hevea brasiliensis (rubber tree). The record is from RNAcentral. Lineage: Eukaryota; Viridiplantae; Streptophyta; Magnoliopsida; Malpighiales; Euphorbiaceae.